Molecule: ribosomal RNA, 783 nt
Filed under: uncultured bacterium
Lineage: Bacteria
Description: partial 16S ribosomal RNA
Source: RNAcentral
CUUCAUCGUUUACGGUGUGGACUACCAGGGUAUCUAAUCCUGUUUGCUCCCCACACUUUCGCACCUCAGCGUCAGUAUCGAGCCAGUGAGCCGCCUUCGCCACUGGUGUUCCUCCAAAUAUCUACGAAUUUCACCUCUACACUUGGAAUUCCACUCACCUCUCUCGAACUCAAGACUAGGAGUUUUAAAGGCAGUUCCAGGGUUGAGCCCUGGGAUUUCACCUCUAACUUUCUAAUCCGCCUACGUGCGCUUUACGCCCAGUAAUUCCGAACAACGCUAACCCCCUCCGUAUUACCGCGGCUGCUGGCACGGAGUUAGCCGGGGUUUCUUUACCAGGUACUGUCAUUAUCAUCCCUGGCGAAAGAGCUUUACGACCCUAAGGCCUUCUUCACUCACGCGGCAUGGCUAGAUCAGGCUUGCGCCCAUUGUCUAAGAUUCCCCACUGCUGCCUCCCGUAGGAGUCUGGGCCGUGUCUCAGUCCCAGUGUUGCUGAUCAUCCUCUCAGACCAGCUACAGAUCGUCGCCUUGGUGAGCCAUUACCCCACCAACUAGCUAAUCUGACUUGGGCUCAUCCAAUAGCGCAAGGUCCGAAGAUCCCCUGCUUUCUCCCGUAGGACGUAUGCGGUAUUAGCGUGCGUUUCCACACGUUAUCCCCCACUAUUGGGCAGAUUCCCAAGCAUUACUCACCCGUCCGCCGCUCUACUCACACCGAAGUGUUUUCGCGCUCGACUUGCAUGUGUUAGGCCUGCCGCCAGCGUUCAAUCUGAGCCAGGAUCAAACUCU